UCGAGAAUCUUCGGCAAUGGGCGAAAGCCUGACCGAGCGAUGCCGCGUGCGGGAUGAAGGCCUUCGGGUUGUAAACCGCUGUCGUAGGGGAGAAAGGGUCGUUGAAGAAACGACUUUGAUCUAUCCUAGGAGGAAGUCCGGGCUAAGUUCGUGCCAGCAGCCGCGGUAACACGAACCGGACAAACGUUAUUCGGAAUUACUGGGCUUAAAGGGUGCGUAGGCGGUGCGGUAAGUGCGGUGUGAAAUCCCACGGCUCAACCGUGGAAUUGCGCUGCAUACUGCCGUGCUAGAGGGAGACAGGGGUAAGCGGAACUGAUGGUGGAGCGGUGAAAUGCGUUGAUAUCAUCAGGAACACCGGUGGCGAAAGCGGCUUACUGGGUCUCUUCUGACGCUGAGGCACGAAAGCUAGGGUAGCGAACGGGAUUAGAUACCCC
Molecule: ribosomal RNA, 434 nt
Filed under: uncultured bacterium
Lineage: Bacteria
Description: bacterial SSU rRNA
Rfam family: Bacterial small subunit ribosomal RNA
Source: RNAcentral